RNAcentral lists this ribosomal RNA (158 nucleotides) under Parathyridaria rosae. RNAcentral's name for it is "5.8S ribosomal RNA". It matches the Rfam family "5.8S ribosomal RNA". From Rfam's summary of the family: 5.8S ribosomal RNA (5.8S rRNA) is a component of the large subunit of the eukaryotic ribosome. It is transcribed by RNA polymerase I as part of the 45S precursor that also contains 18S and 28S rRNA. The record is from RNAcentral. Lineage: Eukaryota; Fungi; Ascomycota; Dothideomycetes; Pleosporales; Thyridariaceae.
AAAACUUUCAACAAUGGAUCUCUUGGUUCUGGCAUCGAUGAAGAACGCAGCGAAAUGCGAUAAGUAGUGUGAAUUGCAGAAUUCAGUGAAUCAUCGAAUCUUUGAACGCACAUUGCGCCCCUUGGUAUUCCGGGGGGCAUGCCUGUUCGAGCGUCAUU